RNAcentral lists this ribosomal RNA (403 nucleotides) under uncultured bacterium. Its description in RNAcentral is "partial 16S ribosomal RNA". It matches the Rfam family "Bacterial small subunit ribosomal RNA", at positions 29 to 526 of the family's 1533-position model. The record is from RNAcentral.
AAUGAACGCUGGCGGCAGGCCUAACACAUGCAAGUCGAGCGAGCGGCGGACGGGUGAGUAAUGUAUGGGGACUGCCCUAUAGAGGGGGAUAACUACUGGAAACGGUAGCUAAUAACCCAUACUAUCGGAUAACCCAUAUGGGAUUAGCUAGUUGGUGAGGUAAUGGCUCACCUAGGCGACGAUCCCUAGCUGGUCUGAGAGGAUGAUCAGCCACACUGGGACUGAGACACGGCCCAGACUCCUACGGAGGCAGCAGUGGGGAAUAUUGCACAAUGGGCGAAAGCCUGAUGCAGCCAUGCCGCGUGUAUGAAGAAGGCCCUAGGGUUGUAAAGUACUUUCAGUCGGGAGGCGUUACCGACAGAAGAAGCACCGGCUAACUCCGUGCCAGCAGCCGCGGUAAUAC